CUUGUGCUCAAUUAGCCACCCUCUCUCAUAUCUCUAUCUCUUUCUUUUUCUUAUGUAGUCUAAUACCAAGACCCAAGGAGAAUGGUGCUGCCUACUUCUAUAGUGGGAUUUGGUCUUUCCUCCCCUGUUAGUAUAAUCAAGUCAAUACAUCACCGGCAUUGCCAAGAUGUAAACUAUUCUAUAGGCAAGAGGUGUUAUUGCUUCAAGAUCCUCAAAUAGGAGCUUGGAUCAUCAUAAUUAUGAGAAAACCUGAAGCUUGAAUGUUGUUUUAAUUCUGUAUGAAAAAGUAAGAAGUAUGCAUAAAGCUUGCUUCAUUCCGAAAUGCAAUUGUUGGAUCCAGACAAGG
Molecule: long non-coding RNA, 346 nt
Filed under: Cricetulus griseus (Chinese hamster)
Lineage: Eukaryota; Metazoa; Chordata; Mammalia; Rodentia; Cricetidae
Description: lncRNA (ENSCGRG00000024567.1)
Source: RNAcentral